UACGAAGGGGGCUAGCGUUGUUCGGAUUUACUGGGCGUAAAGCGCACGUAGGCGGAUCUUUAAGUCAGAGGUGAAAUCCCAAGGCUCAACCUUGGAACUGCCUUUGAUACUGGAGAUCUUGAGUCCGGGAGAGGUGAGUGGAACUGCGAGUGUAGAGGUGAAAUUCGUAGAUAUUCGCAAGAACACCAGUGGCGAAGGCGGCUCACUGGCCCGGUACUGACGCUGGAGGUGCGAAAGCGUGGGGAGCAAACAG
This 253-nucleotide ribosomal RNA is filed under the name uncultured bacterium. RNAcentral describes it as "partial 16S ribosomal RNA". It matches the Rfam family "Bacterial small subunit ribosomal RNA", at positions 524 to 775 of the family's 1533-position model. The record is from RNAcentral.